Molecule: long non-coding RNA, 1526 nt
Organism: Saccostrea cuccullata (small rock oyster)
Lineage: Eukaryota; Metazoa; Mollusca; Bivalvia; Ostreida; Ostreidae
Exons: 5
Source: RefSeq, a predicted model, not a curated record
GAUGUCUUUAAUUGCAAGAUCACUGGAAUAUCGAACAUGAAUAAAAGUAACUAUUGUUAACUGAUAUGACAUCGUCAAUAUAUCUUAUUGUUGAGUAGAAGGUCGAAAUCUGUGUUUUCUUCUUCUCAUGUAAAUUUGAAAUAAAUGCUGCUUCAAAGGAAUAUGAAAGUUAGCUACUAAAGACGCACACUCAACAAGGCCAACAGUUGUUGGAAGAUCUUUCCACCUAAGACUACAUAAAUCUUGUCAAUGAGGAACUCCAGCAUGCUUUUAAUAUCAUCUCCAGAGUACUUGUGUAGAACUAGAGUGAUCUUUAACAAAACAAUUUGGUUGAUGACCAAACAAAUUAUAAGAAAAAUACCUACCUACAUUUUUACCGAAGAAGCAGUUAUCAAUGAUAUCAAUUUUUUUUUUUCGAUUUCACUUGAAUGAUGGUUGUAUGAAGAAGGAUAUGUUGAUAAUGAACAGUAUUCAAUAUCAAAGUCCAUAAAACAAUACAAAAUAGGAGCAGAGCAAACAUGGACCUCCGAAACAUCAGAGGUAGGAUAAUUGUAUAAAGUGUAAGGAAGUCGUACCUUUUGAUGUCACCUACUCUCAAUAAAAAUUAAUCAAUUCCCUUUUAUCUUGUUUUCGGACAAAGGAAUACAUAAUAAAAAAGAUCAUAAGGGGUGGAUUAUGAACUUUCUUGAGAGGGGAGAUAACAUAUCCAGUCAUAAAACUCCAGGGUAGAGACUUUCUGAAAAGGAAAAUUCAUAAAAAAAAUCUUCAGAUACAGCAGAGUGUCUUAAAUCCCGUUUUCAAUGAUACUUUAAGAAAGAACAAGGAUGACAUUUUAUGUGGAAUUGCUAUCGUCAGCCUUUGGUUUGAUUUUAUUCGUCGUUGCCAUGGCCUUACCUGGAUUCAUAACUGAAGAGAGUAUCAAAAUGGGCAUCUUUUACGCCAGGAUGUGUGUUCCCAAUCAAUGUUCAACAAGCUCUUACGUAGAUCUGGAUGAGAAGAAUGAAACCAAAGGGCAGCUUUAGCUCUCAAUGAUAGAUAUGCAGAUAGAGAGUCUCCUUGCUGUCGUCCUUGGGGGAGUCGGAUGGUUGAUUCUUUUUUGGAAUACCAAGAGGAAAGUGUCGAUUCCAUCGACGUUUGUGAUUGGGGGAAUUUUACUACUUGUGGCAGUUACAUCUGAGUUCGCUGUCUUGCUUCAAUUUAUCGCCACGAACGUAUCCAGAAAAGCAUCACAAGGGAAAGACAGCACUCUCGGAGUUCCAUACUCAUUAAUACUUGUCGCCUUUGGUAUUUUAUUCAUGCUUGUUGCUGUUAUAAGGAGCUUUAUGUUCUUUAUCAGAAAUGAACAUAAUGAAGAUAAAACGAAGACUUAUCAACAGACAGGGGAUGAACCAGGGAGAAAUAUCAAAACAAAAUAUAAAACUAGAGCUUAAAGCUAAAAGACAUCAUCCUUAAAAUAUGUUAAGAAUUAAAGUUUGCUAUAUUAGAAUAUGUUAUUAUGAUAUUUUUUUAAGUAAUUUAUAUCUUUA